ACCAACUUGUCCUUGAAGACGCAGUGCUGGCAGAUGUGGGAAGAGUGACUAAGGCUGCCAGUUAUGACUGGAGAGGCUGGGUGAGCUGUCCCCAAGGCCCUCCUGCCAUCUUCCUAGAGGUGAGAGGCAGGGGAGCCCGGGCCAGGGCAGGAUGGAGCUGUGUGGCAGCCCUCUCCCUGGUGGAGGACGUGGCUGUGAAAUGGGAAGAGUGAGUGGCUACAGAAAAACACAAACCGAAGACUCCAGUCCUCUGAGACCUGUUAUCAUCUCAGCUGCUUCCGACUUCAUUUUCCCUGUCUAUAAAAUGAAGCAAAUAUAGUAACCUUGUCCUUGAAUGUAUUUAUCAACAGUGAAGU
Heterocephalus glaber (naked mole-rat) is the source of this 356-nucleotide long non-coding RNA. RefSeq lists it as uncharacterized. NCBI's taxonomy places the organism in Eukaryota, Metazoa, Chordata, Mammalia, Rodentia, Bathyergidae. The record is from RefSeq and is a predicted model, not a curated record.